Molecule: long non-coding RNA, 593 nt
Organism: Tympanuchus pallidicinctus (lesser prairie-chicken)
Lineage: Eukaryota; Metazoa; Chordata; Aves; Galliformes; Phasianidae
Exons: 4
Source: RefSeq, a predicted model, not a curated record
CUCCUGGUUAAUUGUAGCUCUUCUCUAAAAACACUUUUACCUCAGCUUUUAUCUAAACAUGGGAAGUGCCGUGUGCCUUUAGAAAAGAGAAAAUCUAUGGCUGAAGUUACGUGUCUGAACUGGGUUAUCUGAUAAAUGUAUUAAUGAGCAGAAAUUAGGAAAAACCCUGCAUCUGAGGCUCAGCAUGGUACAAGACCACCUGGCUAAGGAGGGAUGCUGACAGCAGCCAAAAAUGAUUUGGCACAGCUCAGGAGAAGUACCCAGAUGACAGCCUCCUCAACCAGUGAGCUGAGGCCAGCUUGGUCUGCACCACCUGCCAGUGGACUCAACAGCACCAGGACAUUGAGCCCCUUCUUGUCUUGGGAUUCAUCUGGACUGGAAAGGAGUAUUACGCAGUGAUUAAAAACUGGGAUCAUGGCUCUCACUGAGACAAAAGGAGACAUCAAGUUGUACACCCAAAACAUUGUAGUGGGCAUACAGGUGGCUCACUGAAUGCACCUUCAACCAGCAAACCUCUGUUGUAGCUCCAUACUGACAAGGAAGCACUGACCUGACAGAAAUGUGUCUUUCCAUCCUGGAUGAAGAGCACGGUU